AGAGUUUGAUCAUGGCUCAGAACGAACGCUGGCGGCAGGCCUAAACAUGCAAGUCGAGCGCUGUAGCAAUACAGAGCGGCGCACGGUGAGUAACACGUGGGAACGUGCCCUUGUUCGGAAUAACUCAGGAAACUUGAGCUAAUACCGGAUGGCCCUAACGGGGAAAGAUUAUCGCCGAACGGCCCGCGUUGGAUAGCUAGUUGGUGGGGUAAAAGCCUACCAAGGCAACGAUCCAUAGCUGGUUGAGAGGACGACCAGCCACACUGGGACUGAGACACGGCAGACUCCUACGGGAGGCAGCAGUGGGGAAUCUUGGACAAUGGGGGAAACCCUGAUCCAGCCAUGCCGCGUGAGUGAUGAAGGCCCUAGGGUUGUAAAACUCUUCGCGGACAUAAUGACGGUACCCGCAGAAGAAGCUCCGGCU
Molecule: ribosomal RNA, 424 nt
Filed under: uncultured Alphaproteobacteria bacterium
Lineage: Bacteria; Pseudomonadati; Pseudomonadota; Alphaproteobacteria
Description: bacterial SSU rRNA
Rfam family: Bacterial small subunit ribosomal RNA
Source: RNAcentral